This 253-nucleotide ribosomal RNA is filed under the name uncultured bacterium. RNAcentral describes it as "partial 16S ribosomal RNA". It matches the Rfam family "Bacterial small subunit ribosomal RNA", at positions 524 to 776 of the family's 1533-position model. The record is from RNAcentral.
UACAUGGGGUGCAAACGUUGCUCGGAAUUAUUGGGCGUAAAGCGCGCGUAGGCGGUCUUUUAAGUCGGAUGUGAAAGCCCUCGGCUCAACUGGGGAAGUGCACCCGAAACUGAAAGGCUUGAGUACCAAAGAGGGUCGCGGAAUUCCCGGUGUAGAGGUGAAAUUCGUAGAUAUCGGGAGGAACACCGGUGGCGAAGGCGGCGACCUGGGUGGAUACUGACGCUGAGGCGCGAAAGCGUGGGGAGCAAACAGG